Molecule: ribosomal RNA, 671 nt
Filed under: uncultured bacterium
Lineage: Bacteria
Description: bacterial SSU rRNA
Rfam family: Bacterial small subunit ribosomal RNA
Source: RNAcentral
GGGGAUAAGCGGAAGAAAUUCCGUCUAAUACCGCGUAAUAACUCCGAGGGGCAUCUCUUGGGGUUUAAAGGGUAACACCGGCUACGGAUGGCCAUGCGGCGCAUUAGCUAGUUGGCGGGGUAACGGCCCACCAAGGCGACGAUGCGUAGGGGUUCUGAGAGGAAGGUCCCCCACACUGGUACUGAGACACGGACCAGACUCCUACGGGAGGCAGCAGUGAGGAAUAUUGGUCAAUGGGCGCGAGCCUGAACCAGCCAAGUCGCGUGAGGGAAGACGGUCCUAUGGAUUGUAAACCUCUUUUGUCGGGGAGCAAAAGACGCCACGCGUGGCGUUCCGAGAGUACCCGAAGAAAAAGCAUCGGCUAACUCCGUGCCAGCAGCCGCGGUAAUACGGAGGAUGCGAGCGUUAUCCGGAUUUAUUGGGUUUAAAGGGUGCGCAGGCGGAAGAUCAAGUCAGCGGUAAAAUUGAGAGGCUCAACCUCUUCGAGCCGUUGAAACUGGUUUUCUUGAGUGAGCGAGAAGUAUGCGGAAUGCGUGGUGUAGCGGUGAAAUGCAUAGAUAUCACGCAGAACUCCGAUUGCGAAGGCAGCAUACCGGCGCUCAACUGACGCUCAUGCACGAAAGUGUGGGUAUCGAACAGGAUUAGAUACCCUGGUAGUCCACACAGUAAAC